RNAcentral lists this ribosomal RNA (113 nucleotides) under Pogona vitticeps (central bearded dragon). The record is from RNAcentral. Lineage: Eukaryota; Metazoa; Chordata; Lepidosauria; Squamata; Agamidae.
CAGAUUAUCCUGAACAUGCCUGUUCUCAUUUGCUUUCUGAAGCUAAGCAGGGACAGGUCCCCAGUUAGUCCUUGGACGGGUGAUCAUUGGGAACUACCAGGGAAACAUUCUGC